This is an RNA transcript of Lotus japonicus, 822 nucleotides long. It is a transcript of the gene named protein GOLVEN 5, with no coding region annotated. The record is from RefSeq and is a predicted model, not a curated record. The transcript is spliced from 3 exons. NCBI's taxonomy places the organism in Eukaryota, Viridiplantae, Streptophyta, Magnoliopsida, Fabales, Fabaceae.
GUCCUAUUUUCGUGCAUAUGCAUUUCCAAAGUAUUGCAAGAGUACAUGCAUGAAAUUUCUCAUGAACUAGUGUUAUGUGAUCGAAGAUCGACCAAACAAGUUCUCCUCGUUGCUUGCAUGGCGGCAGACAAGCGCUGAACACAGCUGGAUUAAUCUUCUCCACUUUUAGUCAAUUCAACGACAUUACUUACCACCUUUUAUUGUUAUUCUUCAUUCCUUUGCAAUAAUGGUGUCGGCAAGGUCCACUACCUUUCUCCUCUUAGUUUUCCUUUUGCUUCCUCUAAGAUUCUCCAUCGCAGACACACAAGACCAAGGAGAAAACACAGUGCUGGUGGUUGAAACUGCAGAAAGCAAAAUAGAAAGAAGUAUGGAAGGUGAUCAAAGGAAAAUAUUUGUUCCAGGAACAGGAACAGGAAGGAAAAUGAUGAUGUCUAGAGGAGGAGUACUAAUUUCCAAGUCUGAGAAUGUGGUGGAGCCAAAGAAUGUUGUUGCAAAGGGUUCAAGUUCAACCAACCACUAUUUCGUGCCUCUAAAUGCUGAUUAUCACGAUCCAAGGCAUCACCCGCCCAAGAAUAAUUGAUAGAUAGCAGCAUCUGUUUUGAAGCUAAAUAGACCCCCAUCCACUAAUUUUGAGGCUUAUAUACAUGAAGCUAAGUCUGUUUUAGCUUGAUUAACUAGUUCUUUCGUACAAAUUUUAUGUUUGUUUUCAGUUUAAUUUGUAAUGCUAAUUAGGAUGCAUGGUCACACAAGGAUCAAAAUGCAGAAUAUAUGUAUGUAUGUAUAACAUACUUAUACGUAAACAGAGGUUUUAUUUAUGAUCAA